Nanorana parkeri is the source of this 284-nucleotide long non-coding RNA. RefSeq lists it as uncharacterized. The transcript is spliced from 3 exons. The record is from RefSeq and is a predicted model, not a curated record. Lineage: Eukaryota; Metazoa; Chordata; Amphibia; Anura; Dicroglossidae.
UUAAAAAAUGCAGAUCAUUUUAAUUCUGUUCCCUGCGUUAGAAAAACAAAAACAAAAAACACAGCAAUAUGCCAUUUGUCCACAUAUUUACACUGUACAUGGUCAUUGUACAACCUAUUUACAAAACUGUAUAAUUACACAUAAAUAUAUAAUAUAAAAAAGGUUAUUUUAGCAAGACCUCUAGCCCUGCAGUUUUAUAGUGUAAUGUGACCAAACACACUGUUUAUAUAAAAAUAUAUUCCAACUGAAAAGACGACAAAAAAAAAAAAAAAAAAAAACCUUUU